This 1114-nucleotide long non-coding RNA is filed under the name Daucus carota (carrot). RNAcentral describes it as "long non-coding RNA (DCAR_LNC001104)". The record is from RNAcentral. Lineage: Eukaryota; Viridiplantae; Streptophyta; Magnoliopsida; Apiales; Apiaceae.
UUCUUCGUUUUUCAGCUCGUUCUCGCGUGCAUGUCCUUCCUCGCUCUAGUACCACUUCCGUAGGUGAUCACGGUUGCAUUUAGCACAUGCAACAAGCCCUUUAAACCCCUAGAUAGCUCUAGUGGACGAGUGUGUUCUCGUGAGGGUUUGUAGAAGAUGUACCCACAAAAUCCCAAGUCGUGAUGAAUCCACAAUUCUCUAUUCUUGCAAAUAAUGCACCAAAAACAACCUAAAAUGAUAGAAAAUCACUUCAUCACCUCAACUCGUGACCUGCACAGAAAAACACUAAAAACACAUCAAAAGACACUAAACACUUAAGUACAACCAACCAAUUUAAGUGGAAAUGAAGGCCUAUAAGUGUGUAUAAAUACCACUUAUCACACCCCCAAACUUAAACUGAUGCUUGUCCUCAAGCGUCAACGACACUAUACAAUAAUACAAUGCAAUGCAUGAAUGCAACUACGUGAUGAAUGAGUGAACUAUGAAGUAAUUGCCUUGCCAAUUAUAAUACCUCAGAUUGUGCUAAUGUUAGAGAGAAAACUGAUAAAACUAUGAUCUGAUAUUCUACUAUAUUCAACUACUACGAGGCUAGGGUUUUACACAUGAAAAAUAAUAAAGUGCAUUGACCAAGUCAACCGGGCCUCGACCGCUGCGAAAAUCCAUCAGAAAAGCUUCGAAAAUCGGCCCGGGGCACUUCUGCUGGGCGCGGCCGCGCUAAACUAGCGCAGGCGCGCUAGUGGUCCCAGUGGAUAGCGCGGGCGCGCUAACACUUAGCGCGGGCGCGCUAGUGUCUGCCACUGGCAGCCAUGUUUCUUCGUUUUUAGCUCGUUCUCGCGUGCAUGCCCUUCCUCGCUCUAGUACCACUUCCGUAGGUGAUCACGGUUGCAUUUAGCAUAUGCAACAAGCCCUUUAAACCCCUAGAUAGCUCUAGUGGACGAGUGUGCUCUCGUGAGGGUUUGUAGAAGAUGUACCCACAAAAUCCCAAGUCGUGAGGAAUCCACAAUUCUCUAUUCUUGCAAAUAAUGCACCAAAAACAACCUAAAAUGAUAGAAAAUCACUUCAUCACCUCAACUCGUGACCUGCACAGAAAAACACUAAAAACACAUCAAAAGAC